Molecule: ribosomal RNA, 382 nt
Filed under: uncultured eukaryote
Lineage: Eukaryota
Description: partial 18S ribosomal RNA
Rfam family: Eukaryotic small subunit ribosomal RNA
Source: RNAcentral
CAAUAGCGUAUAUUAAAGUUGUUGCAGUUAAAAAGCUCGUAGUUGGAUUUCUGGUUGAAGCGACCGGUCGGGCGGUGAUUCGUCUGCACUGGAGUCGGUUUUGGCCAUCCUCUAGGAAAGUGCGUCUGGUAUUAAGUUAUCGGGCGUAUGAUCCUGGUCUUUUACUGUGAAAAAAUUAGAGUGUUUAAAGCAGGCCUUCGCCUUGAAUACAUUAGCAUGGAAUAAUAAGAUAGGACUUUGGUCUAUUUUGUUGGUUUGCAGACCGAAGUAAUGAUUAAUAGGGAUAGUUGGGGGUAUUUAUAUUCCGAUGUCAGAGGUGAAAUUCUUAGAUUUUCGGAAGAUAAACUUAUGCGAAAGCAUUUACCAAGGAUGUUUNCAUUAA